Molecule: ribosomal RNA, 485 nt
Filed under: uncultured bacterium
Lineage: Bacteria
Description: partial 16S ribosomal RNA
Rfam family: Bacterial small subunit ribosomal RNA
Source: RNAcentral
AGUGAACGCUGGCGGCGUGCUUAACACAUGCAAGUCGAACGAGAACGGAAUAUAGCUUGCUAUAUUUGUCAGCUAAGUGGCGCACGGGUGAGUAAUGUAUAGAUAACCUGCCCUUAAGAAAGGAAUAACAGUUGGAAACGACUGCUGAUGCCCUAUAUGCCUUUAAUACAUAAGUCUGCAAGGGAAACGCUUUAGUGCUUAAGGAUGGGUCUGUAUGGUAUCAGCUUGUUGGUGAGGUAAUGGCUCACCAAGGCUAUGACGCCUAACUGGUUUGAGAGGAUGAUCAGUCACAAUGGAACUGAGACACGGUCCAGACUCCUACGGGAGGCAGCAGUGGGGAAUAUUGCACAAUGGACGAAAGUCUGAUGCAGCAACGCCGCGUGGAGGAUGACACAUUUCGGUGCGUAAACUCCUUUUAUAUAGGAAGACAAUGACGGUACUAUAUGAAUAAGAACCGGCUAACUCCGUGCCAGCCGCCGCAGUAA